This 300-nucleotide ribosomal RNA is filed under the name Triticum aestivum (bread wheat). RNAcentral's name for it is "partial small subunit ribosomal RNA". The record is from RNAcentral. Lineage: Eukaryota; Viridiplantae; Streptophyta; Magnoliopsida; Poales; Poaceae.
AUGUCACAUGAUGCCACAACUUCUUGGAUGAUGGUUGGCUCUCCAACAUGGUAUUGGUGUUGCCCUUGCAAAACAUGUGGACAAUGCUUUCAUUCCUGGUGCAUGCAAUCGAUACAUACAAGCAGGGGCGGAGCUUUGUUGGGGCCAAACCGAGCCAUGGCCCGCCCAGGUUUUCACAAUUUUUUUAUACUUAUAUAUGCUAGCCCACUCAGCUUAUUACCAUCCAUGAAUCGAUCGAAGCCUGUCACUACGGCACGAGCACACACAACACGAGCAGCGGCUACAACCAGCCAGGACUAA